This 33-nucleotide transfer RNA is filed under the name Impatiens balansae. RNAcentral's name for it is "partial tRNA-Phe". Lineage: Eukaryota; Viridiplantae; Streptophyta; Magnoliopsida; Ericales; Balsaminaceae. The record is from RNAcentral.
GAUAGCUCAGUUGGUAGAGCAGAGGACUGAAAA